UCCGAUGCUCAAGUCAGUUCUCUGCCUCAACAAGAAUGGAGUGCUCGAACAAAAAUUUUAGCAGAGUUUUGAGAUAGAGAUUAGAGCUUAGAGAAUAACGUAUAUGGGGGUCUCCUUUUUAUAGGCGGAGGGUGUAACAGAUUGACAGCGAUGUCUGUAACUGCCUGGUAGUGGGCCGUUCGGAGCCAUGAGGAGUUUGUUACGGAGAGUAGUGGAGUGG
RNAcentral lists this long non-coding RNA (220 nucleotides) under Elaeis guineensis (African oil palm). RNAcentral describes it as "long non-coding RNA (EGUI_LNC016340)". Lineage: Eukaryota; Viridiplantae; Streptophyta; Magnoliopsida; Arecales; Arecaceae. The record is from RNAcentral.